UCCGGUUCUUCACCAGCAGUCUCCUUAGAGUCCCCACCAUUACGUGUUGGCAACUAAGGAUAAGGGUUGCGCUCGUUACGGGACUUAACCCAACAUCUCACAACACGAGCUGACGACAGCCAUGCAGCACCUGUCUCUAAAUUCCUUUCGGCACUCCGGCAUCUCUGCCAGAUUCUUAGGAUGUCAAGGGUAGGUAAGGUUCUUCGCGUUGCAUCGAAUUAAACCACAUCAUCCACCGCUUGUGCGGGUCCCCGUCAAUUCCUUUGAGUUUUAGCCUUGCGGCCGUACUCCCCAGGCGGGGCACUUAAUGCGUUAGCUACGGCACGGAACCCGUUGAUAAGGUCCCACACCUAGUGCCCAACGUUUACGGCGUGGACUAC
This 380-nucleotide unclassified non-coding RNA is filed under the name uncultured bacterium. Its description in RNAcentral is "contains 16S-23S intergenic spacer region". The record is from RNAcentral.